UUCACAUUUGUAACAAGAAGAAAGCUUUGAAUUUACAAAAUGCUAGACUAUUUUUAGGUGGAAGAAAAUGAUCUCAUAUUUUGGCUUGCGUUUAGCUAAAUUGAUGCAUAGAUUUUCAGUACAGCAGAACAUACUUAAAUAGUCUGUCGGAUGCUUCUUUGUGAACGUAGCACGAAAUCUAAUUCCUGAACUGGAAAAUAAAUGAAAUGCAUAAUCUUUAUUAAAUGCUGUUAUAAGCAAACUAAGGAUGUUAGUAUGCUAUUGCUUUGUUACUUUAGAUAUAUUGAAAAGGUAACCUGGAAAAGAUACCCCUGUCUGAAUCAGUCCCAGUGCUUGAGAAGACAGAUUUGGGAACUCAUAUUAUGUCAUUCAUCUACCUUGACUUCACAAGAAUGGACACUUCUCAGUAAAGGAGAACAGAUACUUUCUGUCUAAGCCAGCAGCCACAGAAAAUGGAUGGGAUUCGUGAAAACUUCAGAGACAGUGAUGAAAACUGAUCAGAAAGCCUUGAAACAAAUUUCAUACGUGACCUGAAAUCAGAUCAAAUUUGAAGUACAGAAGGUCAAAGCCAUAUGUAAUAUCAUGUGUGGAGUUCAAUCAUUGCUGUUGCCAUUACACUCCCUUUCUGGUGGUACUUCUCAGGAGAAGAAUACUAAGGAAGAAUGUGGUAUAAGAAGAAAAUUGGUUUCCCUAACAAAAUAUGAAGUCAUUUGGUAUUCAUUGCACUGGCAAACAUUAGGAUGGAUUGAUUGAAAAUGCAUCCACUGAAAAAAAACAUGCUUCACCUCAUUAUUGGUGUAUGUCCAAUUCUAUCCAUUCUAUCAAAGUCAUCCUGCUCUAUGCCAUGCUCCAGUCACACUCCUACACAGCAACAGCCACCCAUUUUGAAAAGUACUUCUGCCUAUCUCUGAUUAGGGCAUUUCUAAUUUGUUUAAUAUCUUUUUAGUAUUAACAGACUGAGUUAGUACAAUGGAAAAUACAAUGAAAAAUAAUGCAAACAAAAAAAAAAAAGUCCGACCCCUUGACUUCUCUUUGACACUAAAAUCUAUAACCUACUCUAUAUUAACCAGCAAGAUAGAAUGGUUUUAUUUAGUGUAAAUGAAGGUAGAAUUUGGAUUGUAGUACUCCACUGAAUGUAGAAAGCUGUUCUGUUUUUUUCCCUUCACUUUCUAGUUUAUUUCUUCAGGUGAUUGAUCCCUGCAUACUACUAUUAUGCUAAAAUUCAAUAUCCUACUCUAGAAUUAUUCUCACGUGUCAUCAUCCUUCAAUAUAAAGUGGAUAAAGAAUGUGUAUUUAUUUCAUCCAAAGAUGCCUGUUCACCAUCACGAUUCAUGGCAUGCUGGAAAAGUUUCUCAUGGUCAGUGAAUUUUCUGACAAAAAUGAAUCUCUCAGACAAAAAAGAAAAGGAAGGAGUGGCUAUACAGAGAGAGAGAAAUAACCAGUAGCUAGCUUAGGAAUGUUAAUUUGUUUUUUACUGUAAAAAUGCUCUAGUAGUUAUUCUUUUCUCUCAUUUCACAUCCAGAUAAAAAAAAAGAUAUUUGAAAAUAAUAUGAAAGAGGUGUAUAAAAGCUUAGCAACAACGAACGAAUGAGAGAUACAGAGUAAUUCAACACAGCCUAAUGAUUAGGGUUCUGAUCUGGUAUGCAAAAGACUCAGUCUUAAGUCCUUGGUAUGCAUUAUUUAGCGACAGGACUCUGGUCCCUUGUGUCCCCAGUGACAUAUAAUUUCGAAACUGAUCUGAAUGGUUAUAACUGAAGUUGUCCUGAGAAGUUCUUCUGAUUUUAUAAAUAAUUGAACGUUUUUGGAGCAGCUAUUUGAACUUCAUUCUUCCUGAAUAAGUACUCUAACUAAUAGAUGGUACAGAUCCUCC
Long non-coding RNA from Gallus gallus (chicken), 1870 nucleotides. NCBI's taxonomy places the organism in Eukaryota, Metazoa, Chordata, Aves, Galliformes, Phasianidae. The record is from Ensembl.